This is an RNA transcript of Lotus japonicus, 3018 nucleotides long. RefSeq lists it as uncharacterized. The record is from RefSeq and is a predicted model, not a curated record. Lineage: Eukaryota; Viridiplantae; Streptophyta; Magnoliopsida; Fabales; Fabaceae. The transcript has 5 exons.
AUAAUAAUUAUUAGGCUAAUAAAAACAAAACAAAAAAAACAGGGGAAUUCUGCAACAACCGCAAUACAAUAACAACAACAAGAAGAAGAAGAAGAACAAGGACAGAGUGAAAAAUCACAGAGACGAAAAGAUCGUCUUCUGAAUCCGAACAAGGUGUUUGGGUUGAAAAUUUGCUGGAAAAUAUUGGUGAUGAUGAGGUUUAAGAAAGGGACUAAGGUGGAAGUAUUAAGCAAAGCCGAGGUGCCUUCUGGCGCCUGGCUAUGUGCAGAGAUCAUCUCUGGUAAUGGUCACAACUACACUGUUAGAUAUGAUGGAUAUCAUGGUGCUGCUGGUGAGGCUAUUGAGGAGAGGGUAUCCAGGAAAGACAUAAGGCCUUGCCCACCUGCACUUGAACUCGCAGAGAGUUGGAGUGCAGGUGAAGUUGUAGAGGUCUUUCAGAAUUUCUCUUGGAAGAUGGCUACAGUUUUGAAGGUUCUGGGGAAAAAGCACCUUUCAGUCAGGCUACUUGGAUCUUCUUUGGAGUUUCAAGUGAGCAAGUUUGACAUCAGGGUGAGACAGUCUUGGCACGAUGACAAGUGGAUAGUGGUUGGAAAGGGUUCUGCUAGCUGUGAAUAUGGAAAACGUUCUAGUGCUCUGUGUCAGAAGACAGCUACAAAUACAAAACUGUCAGUUUCCAAUUACUAUCAACCUGAAAAGAAAGAACUAAAUGUUACUUUUAAAACAUUAAAACGAGGAAUCGAUUCACAAGUUGAGGCAUGUGCUCAACCUCCCCCUAAGUUUAGGGCAAUUGAGAAUGAAGGAAGGUGUCAAGUAGCAAGAGUUGGAAAUCCACCCACACCACUUACACAGGUACAAGGUGUCAGUUUUCCAAGAGAUGUGCUUGCUGAAGAAUGUAGACCUGCUUCCAUAAACAGAAGAAAAACUGGGAUUUCUAAUAUGGACAUAGAGAGGAGGAUACAAACGGGGGCUGUUGGUUGUUCUUUUGGAGAAAGCUUUGGAUCAAAUCAUGCUGAUAGUGUUACAUGCUCUGUUGGUAGUUGUAGUAUCAAUAGCAGGAAUUCCCAUAAAUUGCAAUUUCCUGUAUCUGCAGGUCCUUUUGAAGAUGUAGACAGUGACUCUUUUAGUGACGCUGAAUCUGUCUGCCAGAGAGGGUAUGAGGAAGGGAGUUGCUCCCCUCCUUCACAAGAAGAAUUGGUGGAAGAAAUCCAUAGCUUUACGCAUGAAAGUUGUCAUUAGUUUGUGGCUAGUGCAUCACUGCUCAACAAUGAUCAAAUUGGCACAAGGUCCAAAUGGUUCUUGGAAGAACAUGGCCACAUUAAAGCCAGAAUUACACAAGAAACAUAGGACUAGAAAUCAAUUAGAGGUAUGCAUACGGUAUCCUGGAGCAAGAUGUCAAUGCAUAAGAGGAACAGGGGGUUAGGAAUUCGACAAGCUCGUCUAUCUAAUGUGGCGAUGCUAGGGAAAUUGGUUUGGUAUCUUAUCAAUUCUUCCGAUAAGCUUUGGGUUCGCCUCUUGCUUGAUGUUUACUCCCCUCAGACUAGUUUUCUGCAUGCUCCCGACAAUCGUGGGUCUUCACUUUGGAAUGCUCUGUUGCGCACUCGGGAGCAGCUUCGAGAGGGCUAUGGUUGGCGGAUUGGUGCGGGUAACCUCUCCUUCUGGUAUGAUGAUUGGAGCGGUUCGGGGCCGCUUUGUUCCAUGGUUCCCUAUGUUCACAUUUCUGACACAAGUUUGCGUGUUAGAGAUGUGUUUCGCGAUGGUGCUUGUGAUACUCGCUGCCUUGCUACUCCGCUCUCGGUUCCUGUUUCCCAGUUAUUAUGUUCUCAGUUUGUUUAUACUCACUCUGAUCAUGAGGAUUUGAUGGUCUGGUCGGAGUCCAUUGAUGGCACUUUCACUGUUUUGAGUUGUUAUACCUGGCUGUUAUCACGCCGGUUUGGUCCCUUACAGCCUGUUCCGUGGAAAGCGGACGUUCCGGAGAAGGUGAGAGUGUUUUCGUGGCAGGCGCUUCACAACUCCCUCCCUACCGCAGAGACUCUUCGCCACCGUGGGGUGAAUAUUCCGGUCCUUUGUCGCCUCUGCAAUGCUAAACCGGAGUCGCAACUCCAUUGCUUGCGAGAUUGUGGUGCAACUCGUCAUGUGUGGAGUAACCUGGCCAUGUUGAUAGCUUCUGAGUUUUAUUCGGCGGGUUUGAUGGUUGAGUGGGUGGCCUCGGUUCUGCGAGCCUCCGCUGCCUCCUUACUGCUUCAUGCGUGGUUCAUUUGGCGCAGGCGCUGUAAGUUUGUGUUCGACGCCAUCCUUGAGCCUUAGCAGCUUGUUCUCCAUCAUGCUGCUGCGAUUGACCGUGUUUUGUGCGGGAGCUUGGCUGUGGUGCACCCUCUUCGUGAGCCUCGCUGGGUCAAGUGGUGUGCGCCGCCGGAUGGGUGGGUGGCUUUGAAUACUGAUGGAUCCUCUCUUGGUAACCUGGGGCGGGCCGGAGCGGGGGGUGUAGUGCGCGACGCUACUGGUACUUGGCUGUUUGGUUUUUCAGUUUUCGUUGGUGUCUCUGAAAUUCUCAAGGCUGAGCUUUUAGCUAUUCUCUUUGGGUUGCGUGUGUGUUGGGAGCGUGGUGUGCGGCAGGUGGUUGUGUUCUCAGACUCUCAGCUGGCCAUCACCCUUCUCCAGCGCGGUUGUGGGCGGUAUCACGCUUAUGCAGCAGUGUUUGACAUGCUCCGCGAGCUUCUUGGUAGAGAUUGGAAUGUUUGGUUUGAUCAUAUUCUCCGGGAAGGGAAUUCUGUGGCUGAUUUGCUGGCGAAGCAAGGAGCUACUAGUGAUGACCGCCUAAGCGUCUUGGAGAAUCCCCUGUUGGCUGUCAUCUCUUUGUUGGCAGAAGACUACCGUGACACUCAUUUUUUGAGGCGCUAGUAUGUUUUUGCGUUUUUUUUAAGCAUCUAAGUACAAAAAAAAAUCAAUUAGGAUCAAGUGUCAAAUAUUUAUACUUAAUAACUUUUUAAAAAUAUAAAAUGACUACGCUAACCACUGAAA